RNAcentral lists this transfer RNA (72 nucleotides) under Actinomycetota bacterium. RNAcentral's name for it is "Actinobacteria bacterium tRNA-Val". It matches the Rfam family "tRNA". From Rfam's summary of the family: Transfer RNA (tRNA) molecules are approximately 80 nucleotides in length. Their secondary structure includes four short double-helical elements and three loops (D, anti-codon, and T loops). Further hydrogen bonds mediate the characteristic L-shaped molecular structure. tRNAs have two regions of fundamental functional importance: the anti-codon, which is responsible for specific mRNA codon recognition, and the 3' end, to which the tRNAs corresponding amino acid is attached (by aminoacyl-tRNA synthetases). tRNAs cope with the degeneracy of the genetic code in two manners: having more than one tRNA (with a specific anti-codon) for a particular amino acid; and 'wobble' base-pairing, i.e. permitting non-standard base-pairing at the 3rd anti-codon position. Lineage: Bacteria; Bacillati; Actinomycetota. The record is from RNAcentral.
GGGCGCGUAGCUCAACGGGAGAGCGCUCGCCUCACACGCGAGAGGUAGCAGGUUCGACACCUGCCGCGCCCA